CUGCAGGGACAAAAAGUCAAAAAAGCCAAGAUCAAUUCCCCUGAUGCGCGAACCUUGUUGGACGAGACCUGCAAUCCUCCUCCACCCACCCCCCGCCUUCAUCCUAGGGUCCAUUCCAUCCCCCUGACCUUAAGGCUAUCGUAGAUGAUUCGCCGUUGGGAAAUCCACUUUCAUCCCCCGCCAUUCUUCGAUUCAUCGACCAAGCCCUCGUUCUUGAUGUCGAGAGCUCCCUGAAGAUGAGCGCUUUGUGGUUUUCCGACGGGAAUUGAGGUACUGUAUAGCAUAGGGUUUUAAGGAGACGAUCAUGGCGUCGGAGGAGCUGGAUUUGGUCCAGUCCCGGCGAGCGGAGCACGGGUUGGGCUCGCGCAUGGUGUUCCAAGGCGAGGCCUUUCCCUUCUCCCGCGGCGACGGAGACCAUGCGGGCGCGCGGAAGCCGACGGCCCUUGGCGCCCCCACGCCCGGAUUCGCCGUCGUUGGCGAUAAGAUGUUCCCCAGUGAUCGAGACCCGCGAUUCUUUUCGAACCAGGCCUGGGGUGCCGUGAGGGACGGGGGUUCGCCCAGUGGUGACGGAUCGGACGGGGAAGAAGAAGACGACGGCGAGGAUGACAGCGACGACGGUGACGAGGAUGUCGAUGAGGGGGAUGGCUUGGUGUCAGUGGAGGACGGCAAUAACAAGGCUAACAACAAUAGCAGCGGUAGCGUACAGAGUAGUUCGGAGAAAAUUCAGGACGCCAGCGCAAAAUCACAGGAGCAUCAAUCGUCUUCUGGGUUGAUGAGAGGAGUGGUGGAGAAGGAUGGGAGUGAAGGAAGAGGCAAUUUGGGGGAGCAGCAAUGCCAGCAGGAUCGGAUGGAUAACUACGAGAAUGCUAUUGCUGUCAUGGAUCCUGAACCGUAUUACACCCAUGCAAUACAUGGGGGAGAGGGAUCAACUUCUUCCCAGAAGGAGGUUGCAGGAGAGAAUGGAUGUGGGUUCAGUGGUAGAAGGGAGAUCGGGUCAACAGCUGGUUACUGGGAGUCCUUGAGGAUGCACCUCUCGGAUCCAAUAACAGGUGCUCUCAUGGAUGAUGCAAUGAUAUUAUCAUGCGGACAUUCUUUUGGUAGCAGUGGAAUGCAGCGUGUUUAUAGAAUGGAAGCUUGUUACACAUGUGCUCAACCAAUUUCAGAAGAUUCAGUCCAACCAAACUUGGCUCUUCGAUCUGCAGUUCAGGCUUUCCGCCGGGAAGAAGAGUCCCAGUCUUCAAAAGCAUCCAAAAGAAGAAGAGAUAGGUUUGAACAAGACAAAUGUAGUUAUGAUGAUCCUUUUCGCAUGGAUUUUUCUCGGGGUAAAGGUGUUCAGUUUCCGUUCUCGGUUUCUGAUCGGGUUAUAAUCAAGGGUAACAAGAGGACACCAGAACGAUAUGUUGGACGUGUUGCAGUUGUGACAACACAGUGCUUAAAUGGAUGGUAUGUGGUGAAGACAUUGGAUAAUGCGGAGAGUGUCAAACUUCAGUACCGUUCUUUAUCCAAGGUUACGGAUGGUCAAGUCUCAAAUAUGAUCUCAGAUAAAGCUCAUGCUCCAAAUUGGCUAUAAGGCCACGAUGCGCAGAUGGAGGAGUGAUGCAAAUUUGAACCGUUGCUCAGAAAUUCUAAAGCCAUAUCUGUUUAGCUGACAGAUUGGAAGAGACUAACUGGUAUCGGCUCAAGUGGCCACUGCCUGAAGAAGAGUGUCCCAUCGGCUGUAUUGCAAGAUAGAACCAUGUUAACUGUGGCAAACUGGUUCUCCAUACCCAUACAAAUGGAUGGCAUUCAUGAUGCAGUAUUCGGAACUCGAAGCAUUUUUUUUAAGCAAAAUUUUGUCGAGAUUGGUUGAGGACUGAGGACUUCUCCGGAUUAGAAAUUCCAUUUGAAGCUGGAGAUUAGCAAGAGAAAUAUUAGUUGCAUACCAACAUUUCACUGCAUCUUUUAAACUAGAAUAUGUUAACAGAUCUUUUUGAUUUCAAGCAUAUUAAGUUCUAUACCCAAUAAAACAUAUA
RNA transcript from Elaeis guineensis (African oil palm), 2012 nucleotides. It is a transcript of the gene named U-box domain-containing protein 62, with no coding region annotated. The record is from RefSeq and is a predicted model, not a curated record. NCBI's taxonomy places the organism in Eukaryota, Viridiplantae, Streptophyta, Magnoliopsida, Arecales, Arecaceae.